RNAcentral lists this long non-coding RNA (1481 nucleotides) under Equus caballus (horse). RNAcentral describes it as "lncRNA (ENSECAG00000030756.3)". Lineage: Eukaryota; Metazoa; Chordata; Mammalia; Perissodactyla; Equidae. The record is from RNAcentral.
GAAACUUAGAAAGGAGGAGGUCAUUUCAACCCCUGUACUUGAACCAAGAAGUCUGAACUAACUGCAAUGUAACUGAAGUCACUGCAUGGCCGGUCCUGGAACCACUGGAGAGGUGCUGAGUGGUGAGUGUUUGUCUUGAAAUGGGAUGGCCGCUGCAGAAGCAAAAUGGACUCUUUUUUCUUUCCAACAUGUCUCACCUUAACAAACUUCAUAGGAGGACAGCUGGCAAUGGAUUUGGGAAUGUAGUUUGCAGGCUUCCAGUCUCAGCAGUUCAGAGCCGAGAAGAAAUAAGUGAAAGAGGCCUGCAGUGAAAGGAAAAAAUAUCUGACGAAUAGGUUCUUUGUGGCACAUACUACUUGUUGGUGAACACAGCUGUCUCUCCCCACAAAGGAACAUUUGUGAUGAUAUUACUGUUGACUAUACCAUCAAAUUCCCAUAAGGAAGUAAAAGUUUGGAUCAAGAACAUUUCAACACAAUGAAAAGUUUCUUCAUAUAAAAAAUGGAUUCAGUAGAUAAUCUCAACUACUUUCUUCAUAUUUUAAAAUGUUAUGGCUCUGGACUCAUUGAAAAUGAACUUUUAUAUACCUUUUGUGAAAUGAGAAGUGAUGCACCAUCUCAAGAUUCGUGCUCUGAUUUAAAAGAAGCUACAGAGAAGCUACACUGUAUCACAGGGGACCUAGGCCAAUAAAGGGUCCACAUCUGAGACUGCGUCAUGUGGAAGGUACAACCACCAUGUUCACGGUGGCAAGACCCACUGCAGAAUCUGUUCCUUCUGUGAUUAUCUCAAGAUAGGAAGAUACACGGGUGGAUCAAGCAAUAUUGCAUGCUGCUGAUCACAUAUUUGGCAACAAGGGAAACCAGAAAUAGAGUAUCAUACACUAAUUAAGUCCUAUAAUCCUGGGUCAAGUUACCAUGGUUAUGUUUUCUAAAUAUAUAUUGACACUCAUCUUCCUCCUCCCCAAUUCAUACAUUUUUUUUCUAAUUCUAGUGGCUGUAUUCCAUUAUUUUUCAAUGUGUUACAGAAAAAAAAUUUCCAGUGAGAAAGGAACAGAAUAGCCACAUAUUCAUCACUCUUACUUGCCUGCUUUGAUCAUUCUUGCCAAACUUAAUAACAUCUGUCACUAAAGACGGAAUUUCUUAACUCUGUGAUUUUGGUCAAUGUCUUUGGGAGAAAUAAGGUUUGAUUGUGACAUCCUUCCUAAGAAAUAUUUAUAUAUCUUUAGUCACCUCUAACAUCUGUCACAUCUAAGUUUGUUACAUGUUCUUAUCUCUGAAUUUUUAUUCAAAAUACUUGAUGCUAAGAGUCUUUAUUUGACCUGUAGCUCCCAAUUUAGAUAGACUUUUGCAAAUGAGACAAGCCUGCACUGUACCAGUAAUCUUUAUUUUUUGUGUGAUAAAGAAUAACUGAAAUUUAGAGCCAAGAGUUACAUCUUUUUGUUACAUAAUAAUCUUUGAACACAUCUUUCACUCAACUCUUUUCC